AAUUAUCUCGACUAUUGUCGGAUUUGGACGUUGUUGGAUUUAUUACAACUCGUCUUGAAAUUGAUUAGUGUCUGAGUGGCUUUUAGUGAAUGGUGUAAUAAAUUUGUAUUUCACUAUUGACUAAUAGUGCAUAUAGGUCGCUUCUAAUACGACUACUAUUAC
Molecule: unclassified non-coding RNA, 162 nt
Filed under: uncultured Gomphales
Lineage: Eukaryota; Fungi; Basidiomycota; Agaricomycetes
Description: sequence contains ITS2
Source: RNAcentral